UGGGGAAUAUUGGACAAUGGGCGCAAGCCUGAUCCAGCAAUGCCGCGUGUGUGAAGAAGGCCUUCGGGUUGUAAAGCACUUUUAUCGGGAACGAAAUCUGCGGGGUCAAUACCCCCGUAGUCUGACGGUACCCGAGGAAUAAGCACCGGCUAACUCCGUGCCAGCAGCCGCGGUAAUACGGAGGGUGCAAGCGUUAAUCGGAAUUACUGGGCGUAAAGCGUGCGUAGGCGGUUUGUUAAGUCUGCUGUGAAAGCCCCGGGCUCAACCUGGGAAUGGCAGUGGAUACUGGCAAGCUGGAGUGUGUCAGAGGAUGGCGGAAUUCCCGGUGUAGCGGUGAAAUGCGUAGAGAUCGGGAGGAACAUCAGUGGCGAAGGCGGCCAUCUGGGACAACACUGACGCUGAGGCACGAAAGCGUGGGGAGCAAACA
This 427-nucleotide ribosomal RNA is filed under the name uncultured Luteibacter sp. RNAcentral's name for it is "bacterial SSU rRNA". It matches the Rfam family "Bacterial small subunit ribosomal RNA", at positions 355 to 774 of the family's 1533-position model. Lineage: Bacteria; Pseudomonadati; Pseudomonadota; Gammaproteobacteria; Lysobacterales; Rhodanobacteraceae. The record is from RNAcentral.